This 479-nucleotide ribosomal RNA is filed under the name uncultured bacterium. RNAcentral describes it as "partial 16S ribosomal RNA". It matches the Rfam family "Bacterial small subunit ribosomal RNA", at positions 28 to 507 of the family's 1533-position model. The record is from RNAcentral.
GACGAACGCUGGCGGCGUGCUUAACACAUGCAAGUCGAACGAUGAAGAAAAGAAUCGAAGCUUCGGCAGAAAUUCAUUUCGGAUUAGUGGCAGACGGGUGAGUAACGCGUGAGCAACCUACCUCUUACAAGGGAUAGCCUCGGGAAACCGGGAUUAAUACCAUAUAACAUUGCGACGAAGCAUUUCGAUGCAAUCAAAGCUACGGCGGUAAGAGAUGGGCUCGCGUCCCAUUAACCGGAUGGUGAGGUAACGGCUCACCAUAGUGACGAUGGGUAACCGGCCUGAGAGGGUGAACGGUCACACUGGAACUGAGACACGGUCCAGACUCCUACGGGAGGCAGCAGUGGGGAAUAUUGCACAAUGGAGGGAACUCUGAUGCAGCGACGCCGCGUGAGUGAUGAAGGAAUUCGUCUCGUAAAACUCUGUUCUAUGGGAAGAAAAGGACUGUACCAUAGGAGAAAGCUCCGGCUAAAUACGUG